UGGGGAAUUUUGGACAAUGGGCGAAAGCCUGAUCCAGCAAUGCCGCGUGUGUGAAGAAGGCCUUCGGGUUGUAAAGCACUUUUGUCCGGAAAGAAAUCCUUGGCUCUAAUACAGUCGGGGGAUGACGGUACCGGAAGAAUAAGCACCGGCUAACUACGUGCCAGCAGCCGCGGUAAUACGUAGGGUGCAAGCGUUAAUCGGAAUUACUGGGCGUAAAGCGUGCGCAGGCGGUUUGCUAAGACCGAUGUGAAAUCCCCGGGCUCAACCUGGGAACUGCAUUGGUGACUGGCAGGCUAGAGUAUGGCAGAGGGGGGUAGAAUUCCACGUGUAGCAGUGAAAUGCGUAGAGAUGUGGAGGAAUACUGAUGGCGAAGGCAGCCCCCUGGGCCAAUACUGACGCUCAUGCACGAAAGCGUGGGGAGCAAACAGGAUUAGAUACCCUGGUAGUCCACGCCCUAAACGAUGUCAACUAGUUGUUGGGGAUUCAUUUCCUUAGUAACGUAGCUAACGCGUGAAGUUGACCGCCUGGGGA
This 531-nucleotide ribosomal RNA is filed under the name uncultured bacterium. RNAcentral's name for it is "partial 16S ribosomal RNA". It matches the Rfam family "Bacterial small subunit ribosomal RNA", at positions 355 to 879 of the family's 1533-position model. The record is from RNAcentral.